UGUCCAAAUGUACUUCAUAUACUUCCGUGGUAAAAUGUCUGCAGAUGAAUUGUCGGCAUUAGUAAUUAUUUCUUCAUAUCUGUUGUAUACAUGGAGACUUUGAACCUAUCGCAUUCUUUUUCCAAGAACUACAAUUUUUUGCAUCUACAGAACAGCUUUGAAUGAACACAGUUUGGUCGUCUGAAGAAUUAAGUAUAUUUUUAUUCAGAAGGUCGUCCUAAGAUUUCGGAGACUGCUGAUCUAGAAAUGUUGAAAGGGGUGCAUGGGGCAAAAAAGAUUGAGAACCACCAAUAUGCAAGAAGUCCUUCAUGUUCCACUGUAAUGGUUUCCAGUGUGUUGUUAUAUAGAUAAACUACUGAAGCCUUUUUUUAUAAAGAUUCUGUAUAAUAAUACACACAUUUUUAUUCAAAGAUAA
This is a long non-coding RNA of Stegodyphus dumicola, 415 nucleotides long. Lineage: Eukaryota; Metazoa; Arthropoda; Arachnida; Araneae; Eresidae. The record is from RefSeq and is a predicted model, not a curated record.